This 495-nucleotide ribosomal RNA is filed under the name uncultured bacterium. RNAcentral's name for it is "partial 16S ribosomal RNA". It matches the Rfam family "Bacterial small subunit ribosomal RNA", at positions 28 to 507 of the family's 1533-position model. The record is from RNAcentral.
GAUGAACGCUGGCGGCGUGCCUAAUACAUGCAAGUCGAGCGAACAGAUGAGGAGCUUGCUCCUGACGUUAGCGGCGGACGGGUGAGUAACACGUGGAUAACCUACCUAUAAGACUGGGAUAACUACGGGAAACCGGAGCUAAUACCGGAUAAUAUAUUGAACCGCAUGGUUCAAUAGUGAAAGACGGUUUUGCUGUCACUUAUAGAUGGAUCCGCGCCGCAUUAGCUAGUUGGUAAGGUAACGGCUUACCAAGGCAACGAUGCGUAGCCGACCUGAGAGGGUGAUCGGCCACACUGGAACUGAGACACGGUCCAGACUCCUACGGGAGGCAGCAGUAGGGAAUCUUCCGCAAUGGGCGAAAGCCUGACGGAGCAACGCCGCGUGAGUGAUGAAGGUCUUCGGAUCGUAAAACUCUGUUAUUAGGGAAGAACAAAUGUGUAAGUAACUAUGCACGUCUUGACGGUACCCAAUCAGAAAGCCACGGCUAACUACGUG